RNAcentral lists this ribosomal RNA (301 nucleotides) under uncultured bacterium. RNAcentral describes it as "partial 16S ribosomal RNA". It matches the Rfam family "Bacterial small subunit ribosomal RNA", at positions 509 to 807 of the family's 1533-position model. The record is from RNAcentral.
CAGUCGCCGCGGGAAUACGUAGGGUGCGAGCGUUAAUCGGAAUUACUGGGCGUAAAGCGUGCGCAGGCGGUUCGUUAAGACAGAUGUGAAAUCCCCGGGCUUAACCUGGGAACUGCAUUUGUGACUGGCGAGCUAGAGUAUGGCAGAGGGGGGUAGAAUUCCACGUGUAGCAGUGAAAUGCGUAGAGAUGUGGAGGAAUACCGAUGGCGAAGGCAGCCCCCUGGGCCAAUACUGACGCUCAUGCACGAAAGCGUGGGGAGCAAACAGGAUUAGAUACCCCUGUCGUCCCUGUCUCUUAUAC